RNAcentral lists this long non-coding RNA (358 nucleotides) under Brassica napus (rape). Its description in RNAcentral is "long non-coding RNA (BNAP_LNC023265)". Lineage: Eukaryota; Viridiplantae; Streptophyta; Magnoliopsida; Brassicales; Brassicaceae. The record is from RNAcentral.
UCUUCUUCUUAUCAAAUAAAAAAAUACAUUUUAUUUUUAUUUUAAAAUGUUACUUAAAAUAUUGGGCAAAUCUCCAAAAUAGCACAUUUCUAAGUUUAUAUCACAAAAAUAGCACUCAAAAACUAAAAUGACCAAAAUAACAUUUUAUCUUUUGAAAAUUUUAAUCUUUUUAUUUUUCAAAAUUUGAAAUCUUAUCCCCGAAACUUCAUUUCUCAACUCUAAACCCUAAACCCUAAACUCUAAACCCUAAACCCUAAACCCUAACUCUAAACCCUAAACCCUAAACCCUUAACUCUAAACCCUAAACUCUAAACCCUAAAUCCUAAACCCCACCUUUUAACUCUAAACCCUAAGUUUG